GACGAACGCUGGCGGCGUGCUUAACACAUGCAAGUCGAACGGAAAGGCCCUGCUUUUGUGGGGUGCUCGAGUGGCGAACGUGUGAGUAACACGUGAGUAACCUGCCCUUGACUUUGGGAUACUUCAGGAAACUGGGGCUAAUACCGGAUAGGAGCUCCUGCUGCAUGGUGGGGGUUGGAAAGUUUCGGCGGUUGGGGAUGGACUCGCGGCUUAUCAGCUUGUUGGUGGGGUAGUGGCUUACCAAGGCUUUGACGGGUAGCCGGCCUGAGAGGGUGACCGGCCACAUUGGGACUGAGAGACGGCCCAGACUCCAACGGGAGGCAGCAGUGGGGAAUAUUGCACAAUGGGCGGAAGCCUGAUGCAGCAACGCCGCGUGCGGGAUGACGGCCUUCGGGUUGUAAACCGCUUUCGCCUGUGACGAAGCGUGAGUGACGGUAAUGGGUAAAGAAGCACCGGCUAACUACGUG
This 467-nucleotide ribosomal RNA is filed under the name uncultured bacterium. RNAcentral's name for it is "partial 16S ribosomal RNA". It matches the Rfam family "Bacterial small subunit ribosomal RNA", at positions 28 to 507 of the family's 1533-position model. The record is from RNAcentral.